This 505-nucleotide ribosomal RNA is filed under the name uncultured bacterium. RNAcentral's name for it is "partial 16S ribosomal RNA". It matches the Rfam family "Bacterial small subunit ribosomal RNA", at positions 28 to 507 of the family's 1533-position model. The record is from RNAcentral.
GACGAACGCUGGCGGCGUGCCUAAUACAUGCAAGUAGGACGCACAGUCUAUACCGUAGCCUGCUACACCAUAGGCUGUGAGUUGCGAACGGGUGAGUAACGCGUAGGUAACCUGCCUAUUAGAGGGGGAUAACUAUUGGAAACGAUAGCUAAUACCGCAUAACAGUAUGUAACACAUGUUAGAUGCUUGAAAGAUGCAAUUGCAUCGCUAGUAGAUGGACCUGCGUUGUAUUAGCUAGUAGGUAGGGUAAUGGCCUACCUAGGCGACGAUACAUAGCCGACCUGAGAGGGUGAUCGGCCACACUGGGACUGAGACACGGCCCAGACUCCUACGGGAGGCAGCAGUAGGGAAUCUUCGGCAAUGGGGGGAACCCUGACCGAGCAACGCCGCGUGAGUGAAGAAGGUUUUCGGAUCGUAAAGCUCUGUUGUUAAGGAAGAACGAGUGUGAGAAUGGAAAGUUCAUACUGUGACGGUACUUAACCAGAAAGGGACGGCUAACUACGUG